UAGAAAAAGGGGGUCCUAAAAAUGCAAGUCGAGCGCUUCUUUUUCCUCCGGAACUUGCUCCACCGCGAAAAAGAGGAGUGGCGAACGGGUGAGUAACACUUGGGUGACCUGCCCAUCUUAAGGGGGUAAAACUUGGACCAGGUGCUAAUACCUUAUAACAAUCGAAACCGCAUGGUUUUGAUUUGAAAGGCGCUUUCGGGUGUCACUGAUGGAUGGACCCGCGGUGCAUUAGCUAGUUGGCGAGGUAACGGCUCACCAAGGCGACGAUGCCAGCCGAGCUGAGAGGGUGAUCGGCCACCUUGGAACUGAGACACGGCCCAGACUCCUACGGGAGGGAGCAAUAGGGAGUCUUCGGCAAUGGACGAAAGUCUGACCGACCAACGCCGCGGGAGUGAUCAUUGUUUUCGGAUCGAAAAACUCUGUUGGUAGAGAAGAACAAGGAUGAUAGUAACUGUUCAUCCCUUGACGGUAUCUAACCAGAAAGCCACGGCUAACUAGUGGCCAGCAUCCGCGGUAAUACAUAGGUGGCAAGCUUUGUCCGGAUUUAUUGGGCGUAAAGCGACGCAAGCAUUUCUUAAGUCUGAUGUGAAAUCCCCCGGCUCAUCCUGGGGAGGUGCUUUGGAACUGGGA
This 630-nucleotide ribosomal RNA is filed under the name Enterococcus hirae. RNAcentral describes it as "bacterial SSU rRNA". It matches the Rfam family "Bacterial small subunit ribosomal RNA", at positions 37 to 638 of the family's 1533-position model. The record is from RNAcentral. Lineage: Bacteria; Bacillati; Bacillota; Bacilli; Lactobacillales; Enterococcaceae.